GGUGACAUCCCAAUAGGUGUUUUGUACGCAGUUCUAUAGGCCCAAAGUGCAUCAUCUAAUCUCAGACUCCAAUCCUUUCUGCUCGGGUUGACUACCUUCUCCAAAAUGGAUUUGAUCUCUCGGUUAGACACCUCAGCUUGACCAUUACUCUGCGGAUGGUAGGAUGUAGAAACCUUGUGCAGAACAUUGUAUUUCUUGAACAAAGCCGCUAACACCCUGUUGCAAAAGUGG
RNAcentral lists this long non-coding RNA (231 nucleotides) under Panax ginseng (ginseng). RNAcentral's name for it is "long non-coding RNA (PGIN_LNC012348)". The record is from RNAcentral. Lineage: Eukaryota; Viridiplantae; Streptophyta; Magnoliopsida; Apiales; Araliaceae.